GCUCCAGCAGCUGAUGUACAUGACCGUCCUCAACCCUCCUCGGCCUUCUCCGCUCUCUCUCUCCGUACGCCGCCGCGGAGCAGGCAGCUUCUUGCCCUGCGAGACGCCGGCGCGUUGGCCUUGGCCGCCUUGUGGANGGACCGCAGCGCGUAGUUCCAGCGGCAGAGUCCGCCCUGGUCCUUGAGCGCCUCCACUGCGCCCACGCUCAUCGCCACCAUCCAAGACGCCUUCGCUGCACCCGCCAUUGGAUCGAUCUCUUCUUUCUUGCUGAGAAUUGGACCGGAUUGUUUGUGAUUUCUUCUUUUGGUUUGCAGUGAACUAUUGUAUGCUGUGUUGAGGAUGAGGAGGAAGGAGAGGGGCGGGUUAUAUAGAGGAGGAGGGCAGGAGGCUGUGGAGAGGAGAAGGACGGGGUUGGGGCGAAACAGGAGGCGCCGCGCGUUGGUUUCCCAGUAUACCGGGUGCUCUGCUCUGCUUGAUUAGGC
RNAcentral lists this small RNA (482 nucleotides) under Oryza sativa Japonica Group (Japanese rice). RNAcentral describes it as "sRNA Os04g0635450". Lineage: Eukaryota; Viridiplantae; Streptophyta; Magnoliopsida; Poales; Poaceae. The record is from RNAcentral.